Molecule: long non-coding RNA, 1252 nt
Filed under: Monodelphis domestica (gray short-tailed opossum)
Lineage: Eukaryota; Metazoa; Chordata; Mammalia; Didelphimorphia; Didelphidae
Description: lncRNA (ENSMODG00000050916.1)
Source: RNAcentral
GGUUUAAAUGACAGGCACAGAGAAAUAUGCCUGUAGUGUUUUUGUUUGCUCAGUUGUAAUUUCCAGAUGUUGGGUUCUACUGCAAUAACUUUUGAAAGUCCAAAGUCAUUUUAAAAGCUCACUAAGAUGAGAGGUAAAAACUUUAAUGAAGAAGGAUGACACCUAUGUCAAUGGAGAAUUAGCAUUGGAGAAACCUUCCUUCUAUGGAUUUAGAUGAGAUCUGGGACAUCAUUUACCACUGCAAACAUCUCAUGGCAUAUGACAAAACCUCCAGGAUAGCCUUAAGUCCUUCUUUAUGCUAUCAUCAAGAAUGUAGGUAUUAGAGACCUUUGGGGAUAAAUUAAUCAUCCCCAAACCUUUUUCUCUUCUCAUUGUCCUAAAUUCUCAAAUAACUCUUUGCGCAGUCUGAUCCCCAACAUUUCUCCAGAGGUAGAUUUACAUGCAACGCAAGAGAAGACUCAUAUACAGAAAAUCACUCCUCCAUAUACUACCACUACCACUACAGAAACAAGACGUAAGUGAAGCUAUUCUCUUCUAAGGCAAUUUUUAUUUUAUUCUGUGUUCGUCUCUGUCAAAGAUAAGUUCUUCAGCUGUGAAACAGCAAAAUAGAAUGGAAAACUCUGAAGCCAGCCCGAAGAACUGCUUACUAACAUUCGAAUCAGUUGGUGAAAUGCAGUUGUGUUACACACUGGGACCCUUACUAGGGCCAUGAGCAGGAGUUGCAGUCUUUCUGCCCUCACAGCUUUCCCUGCUGUACUCUAAGCUACCUUGGACAGAGCACGUUGGUUAUGACCAACGGUCUGGAACAACGUCCCACAGCCAUACAGGCACAGUGUCUAGAGCCACGGGAAAGAAUGACUGAAGAUGAUCUCAGCACACAGAACGCUGCUAAGCAGACAUCUGCGUCCCUGCUGGAAUUGUCGUCUGCAGUUCUUUAAGCUGGAAGAACAAUCCUGGCAAUAGAGCCGUGUUUACUAAGAGAAAAUGGAAUUUUAAUGAAAAAAGAGGUCUUUCAAACAUUCCUGAAGACAAGAUCAAAGCUGAAUGGAAAUUUUGACAUUCAAACAAAAGAUUCAAGAGAGGGGCCAAUCACAGCUUCCAAAUUGCCUAGAACUACCCAGGGGAGUAUCUGUGGGAUCCAUCUCUCAUCCUCUGAAGGUGUCAACUCUUCUCAUAGCCCUCUGAAGGUGUCAACUCUUGUCAAACUGUUGGCCACUUUUGAAUUAACCGUCCACUAAAGCCCCACUAAGAG